Molecule: unclassified non-coding RNA, 374 nt
Filed under: Pseudognaphalium sp. RS-2020
Lineage: Eukaryota; Viridiplantae; Streptophyta; Magnoliopsida; Asterales; Asteraceae
Description: partial external transcribed spacer
Source: RNAcentral
GCGCAACAACUUCUACCUGGCAUACCUCUUCAGUCUUGUGUCAAUGCUUGUAUUGCAUUGAAUGCACGGUGGGUUUCUUGUGUUGCAUGCCUAAUUUAAUGGUAUUGCUUGAUGUAUUGGUUUUCCUUUCGUUUUGCAUUGCCUAUGCGAUGUGAGAUGAACCUUGAAGCAGCCUUUGUGAUCCACUGAUUUGAUGUAUAUGCAUUGAUUUUGUGGCCCAUUGAGUGUUGCUCGGUCUCAUGGAUAUGGAACCUGGUGUGGGCAUGGAAUCUUAAUGGUUCCUUGUUUGCCCAAGUUUAGCUUUUCUAAAACGAUUGUCUAUCAUGUGUUAACAUGCUAGACUACUUCGAAUAUGAAUGCUACCUGGUUGAUCC